GUCUCUGCUCCUCUCGUUCCGAUUGGUCGGACGCUGCUCCGACCGACGAGUAGAUUUUUCGAACUGCCGCGCAUGCGCGGUGAUCACGUGAAGUCAUCGCGCGUCGCGGACGGGAUUAACGAGGAUGCGUUGUAUCGCGUACGCGACACUAUAUCCGUUUCCUAAAUGAUGGCGACUUUUGAAAGUUUUUUUUUACGCUUACGUCAGUCGUCUCGUGACGUCAGAAGCGGAAGAUCGAACGGAUGGAUAAAUUAAUAGGAGAAAAUUGAAGAUGAAUAAUUCUUGGAAAACGGCGUCAAACCGGACGAGUCUUAGUUGAAGAAAUCAGUUUCAAGGAAACUUCCUGCCUUCACUUACCUGCUACAUUGUUUUCUCCGUGGAAAAUGACCAAGAGCCACGCAAUUGAGGGAUCGGAAGGUGGCGUCAUCUUAUCGAGCAACAGUCGGCAAACCAGGACGAUGCAAUUCGCGUGAUGUGACAAUAAACAGUACAUUGAAGUCUCGAAAAAUCCAAACAAGCAGAAGUUUAACGCGAUCGUAAAAUUGGAAGAGUCGCUUAUUCAAGGAUGUUACGAGGCGCGAGGGAACGGAGUUGUGAAUAAUUCAGCGAUCACGACGACGAUUCGACGAAUCGACGAUGACGACGAUUCGCAAACAUAUACCGGAGUCAAAGGACAAAGAUUGCGCCGCGCACGAUCGUCCGGGGGAUGCCUUAUAGUGCGCGCUAAUGAAGCAGCAAGUCUUUGUGCUGCUUUUAUUCUCUUACGUCAUCAAAUCCAGCAGCGACGACGACGACGACGGCGACGGCAGCACGACCUGGCCGCGUUCUCAGCGCGUAGGAUGGCUUGCGCAAGGCGCAAUCAGGGACCGACCUCUCGCGGACCGUCCUGGAAGCGCGCCAGCUAAUGUGUUUUUCCUCUGACUUUAGGCAUUUCGGGCUAACGCAAAAUACAUACCAUUCUCCCAUUUACUAGGAAACGUUCAUCGUAAUGUUGGGAAUCUCAGAUAAACGGAUGAAUUAUAGCUAGCGUAAAACGAAGUGAACCAAUGUUAGAAAGUCAUUUUUUUGAUACAGGCAAAAUGAUGUAACAAUUCUCCUAUAUAAUUUAUUGAAUAUUCAAAUUACUACGAUUGGAAGAAGAAAAAAGAAAAAAUGUGAUCUCUAGAGACGUGUGUAUUGCUAUAAAACUUUGCGGUUAUAACGCAGAAACCGCGUUGCGUGACUUGCGACACAUCAUGACGAAGCAAACUCCUCUCGGGUGUAUCAUACUCGCGCACGCACGUUGCAUGAGAACAUGUUGCGUUCACAUCAUUUAAACCGCCUUCAUCAGUCUUUUUAUUUCUCUUUCGAGAUAUUCAGAUGUCAAAACAGCUUGAUCUCUCGUAUCGUCUCAAAACAAGAGGAACGAGUGGGCGAGCAGUACUGACCCAGUUGAUAGAACCGCGAACGAUAGACCCGCGUUGCCGUCGCGGGGAGGAGGAAAAGGACGGAGGAACAACGAGGAGCAGGAGGAAGGAGGAUAGGGAAGAUGAAAGGGGAAGGGGGAGGGAUGAUGCACGUAACGGCGGUGACUCACUCUCCGCGUGCGACGGCACGUCGAUCUUUGCACCCUCCGUGCCUCCUCCGCCGUGCCAUUCCCGGCCCCUCUUCGUCCCGCAACCUUUCCCGGCGCAUUUCCCGGCGGCGUGUAACGCGCCGCGCGUGCACACGUGACAUUUCGAGUAUAUCUCGAAUUAAACCGUAAACAUCGUAGUACAACCUUCGCGGCCACGCGGCACCACACGCCGGUGUCAAUGAUCCUUGCCUGCCACUUAUUGAAUCGCGCAUUCGCACGACGCGUGUGUCACUGUACACUCUGUUGUUGGAUGUUUCUUCCGUUUCUACAGGGUGACCGAGAAGUCGCGCGCCGCGGAGAUUUCGAAUGCGAGUGAUGGGAUUUUCAAGAGGAUAUGACUGUGCGCGGUCCCUCACUUUGCUCGACUCCAUGACGGAAUAUUCAAUCAUCUUAGAACACGUUUUCGAGUAUAAGAAAACACGCUGCAGCUCGCGCACUGUAUUCCUCGCUCAGGGCGAGCUGUUUCGCAGCGACCAAGGCGAACUUCUUCGUUCUCCAACUCGUCAUCGCUGCCGCUCAAUCGAGAUAUCCAGCGCUUAUAUCUUUCUACGUAUUUUUCUCUAUCCUAGAAUUAUUGCAAAACACGUUAUUUUGCGGUAAUACUGAUCGCCACGCAGCAAAGUUACACAAAAUGCUCGGAUCCUUAAAUACCCUUAGAGAGAGGAGAAGAGAGGAAGAGAGAGAAGGCGUGAAUACGUCUAUAGAUCGACGAGUUUUUCCACGCUUUUCAUGAGCAACUGCGAUUGGAAAUCAAAUCCGGGAGACUUUCGCUUAUCGGACGGCUGUUUCUCCACUAACAAUAAGCCACACUGUGGAAGUGUUUUUCCCCAGCUUCGCGUCAUGCCAUAUUUUCCUCGCGAAGUCGCCGCUAUACACGGUGAUAUCGCCUCGACGAAAAUCUUCCCGCGCCGCGCUCGCCGUGUAAAUCGAACGUUCGAUAACGGACGGUGGCGAGAGAAGGAGGGAGCGUGCGAGCGAGCAAACGAACGAGCAAGGGACGAUCUGGCAACAACGCCGAGUCGCAGUGCCGGAAUUGAAUUUCAAGCGCCCGAGGGACAGAAGAGGGGGCGGACCGACCGGCGCGGCCCUUUCUCUUUUGUAUAGGGGGCACGAGGCGCAUAACGAUUGCUGUCCGGCACGCUCUACUGGAUGUCCUAAAA
Molecule: long non-coding RNA, 2775 nt
Organism: Camponotus floridanus (Florida carpenter ant)
Lineage: Eukaryota; Metazoa; Arthropoda; Insecta; Hymenoptera; Formicidae
Exons: 10
Source: RefSeq, a predicted model, not a curated record